UAUCGUGAACACUAUCCAUUUGGGGAAUGCUUCUCUCCAUUCCUCUUCAUAUGUGAGGAACCUCAAGAACUGAAAACAAAGUUCCCAAUGAAGGGGCAGCACAAAAUCUUCAAAAUGGACUCGAGGCUGCACCAUGCAGCAAGAAGACGUUGCUCUGUCCUCAGAUCUUGACAAGCUGACCAGUUUUUCCACUGUAGAAAAGAAAAGGUCUUUUUUUUUAACGCAGAAAAUAAAU
This is a long non-coding RNA of Dermacentor silvarum, 235 nucleotides long. RefSeq lists it as uncharacterized. The transcript is spliced from 3 exons. The record is from RefSeq and is a predicted model, not a curated record. Lineage: Eukaryota; Metazoa; Arthropoda; Arachnida; Ixodida; Ixodidae.